UUAAGUGUUAUGAAAAAGACUUUGAAUUUAAAUAAAGCUUACAAAGAAAUCAUAAAACUAAUUUUAAAAUGCUUUUAUGUAGGCAAAAGGGAAACUAUAGUACUCUCACUACUUAAUAUUUCCAGUUCUGCCUAAAACAAAGACAUACAUUAAUUUUUAACAAUCUUUGUCUCAAAAUUCUAGGAACAUUUGGAAGAAGUAUUUAAAGCUAAUGCUUACUCUUUGCGUGAAAUUUUAUAUAAUCUCAGGAAUAGAAAUUUAAGAAAUAGAAAUCUUCUCAUUUCAGUUUGCUAAGCACAUUCUUCAUUCUUACAUAUUACAGGUCCACUAGAUUCAAAGGUAAGCCAAAAAUACCAUGCAAAAGACUGCCUCCUAAAUUAUUUAAAUCUCUUUUGUAGCAAAAUUUUCCCAGAAACUGAGGAACAUCCACACAGAAAUUCUUACCUUUUUAUCAAAAGUUUGUUAUCCUUUUCUCAUUUUCUGGGCCUUUCAAUGCAUUGGCAUUGACAAGAGUGAAAAAAUUAUUUGCUGUUAUUUGCAUAUCAAACACAUGGUUUCAACGUGGUAUGAAACUAUGUUGGUUCCAACGUGGCUGACUCCUUUGUGUCCAUUAAAACCAUUUUCCUCAUAUCUAAAGUGAAUCUUGGUAUCUGUGAUUUAUGUUUAAUAUAGAGAUGGGAAAUGGUUAGUAAUCUAAUACUAGUCAAGUCACAUGUAUUCUUAAAAAAAGCUCAAAUAGUUGAAUUAGGGUGAUGGAAAUUAUACUCAAAUCUGAAAUUGUAAUGAGGCUCCUUUCUGAAACUUAAAUGACCCAUUCAUUUUUUUUAGGUUUAGCUUAAUGUUUUUCCUCUUCAUAAUACCAACUGAGGUUUAACUUAAUAACAAAUGGUAACUAUAUAAGAUUGUAUUAAAUAGUCUUGGGCUAUUUUUUGGUAAGCUCUUUGAUUUGGUAACUACAUUCCAAAAGUUAAUUAUCAGUUACAUGAGUUUAAAUGGCAUCCAUAGCUGCCCCUUCACACAAACAGGUGCUCAGUAAUAGGGCUUAUUAGAAAGACCCUAGAAACCAAGAAACUUCAGUUCUAGUCCUCAAUAUAGAAGUAGCUAACAAUUUUGGAUAAGUCAUUUAACUUCUAGUCUUUGGUUUCCAUAUUUAUAAAAUGGAGACAAUAUCCUAUCUACUUUAAUAAGGUAUUAUUAAAAUGUUUAUAAUUGGAUAAUAUAUUGAAGCAUUCUGAAAUAAUACCAGUUCGUCUUUGUUUAGCAAUCUCAAUUUUUCAAAUUCUUAACCCUGGGAUUGAAGUUAUUAAAGGCACUUGUUUCUCCUUAUUUAAAAGAUUUAUGAAAGGCUCCUACCAUGGCAUGCCUUGGCUCCUACGGUUUUACUUUCCCUCCACAGGAAACCUAUAUUGACAAUUUUAGAUUGUCAAAAUUCUUUCUUAAUGAAAGUAUUAAUGAGAAUUAUUUCAUUAUUCAUAGUUUGGUUAAGAUUUAUGACAAAUCACAGCCAAAAGAACUUCAUUGGUAAUAGCUUGUUUGAGAAUUAUUUCAUUAUUCAUAGUUU
This 1561-nucleotide long non-coding RNA is filed under the name Homo sapiens (human). Its description in RNAcentral is "HSALNT0032267". Lineage: Eukaryota; Metazoa; Chordata; Mammalia; Primates; Hominidae. The record is from RNAcentral.